CCUACGGGUGGCAGCAGUGAGGAAUAUUGGUCAAUGGGCGCUAGCCUGAACCAGCCAAGUAGCGUGAAGGCUGACUGCCCUACGGGUUGUAAACUUCUUUUAUAAAGGAAUAAAGUGAGGCAUGUGUGCCUUUUUGUAUGUACUUUACGAAGAAGGAUCGGCUAACUCAGUGCAAGCAGCCGCGGUAAUACGUAGGUGGCGAGCGUUGCCCGGAUUUAACGGGUGGAAAGGGCGUGUAGCCGGGAAGGCAAGUCAGAUGUGAAAUCGGUGGGCUCAACCUCCAAAUUGCAUUUGAAACUGUUUUUCUUGAGUACUGGAGAGGCAGACGGAAUUCCGUGUGUAGGAGUGAAAUGCGUAGAUAUAAGGAGGAACACCAGUGGCGAAGGCGAUCUGCUGGACAACAACUGACGGUGAGGCGCGAAAGCGUGGGGAGCAAACAGGAUUAGAUACCCUUGUAGUC
RNAcentral lists this ribosomal RNA (460 nucleotides) under uncultured bacterium. RNAcentral describes it as "partial 16S ribosomal RNA". It matches the Rfam family "Bacterial small subunit ribosomal RNA", at positions 338 to 795 of the family's 1533-position model. The record is from RNAcentral.